UACGGGAGGCAGCAGUGGGGAAUAUUGCACAAUGGGCGCAAGCCUGAUGCAGCCAUGCCGCGUGUAUGAAGAAGGCCUUCGGGUUGUAAAGUACUUUCAGUCGUGAGGAAGGUGUUAAGGUUAAUAACCUUAGCAAUUGACGUUAGCGACAGAAGAAGCACCGGCUAACUCCGUGCCAGCAGCCGCGGUAAUACGGAGGGUGCGAGCGUUAAUCGGAAUUACUGGGCGUAAAGGGCACGCAGGCGGUUAAUUAAGUUGGAUGUGAAAUCCCCGGGCUUAACCUGGGAAUGGCAUUCAAGACUGGUUAGCUAGAGUCUUGUAGAGGGGGUAGAAUUCCAUGUGUAGCGGUGAAUGCGUAGAGAUGUGGAGGAAUACCGGUGGCGAAGGCGGCCCCUGGACAAGACUGACGCUCAUGUGCGAAAGCGUGGGGAGCAAACAGGGAUUAGAUACC
This 451-nucleotide ribosomal RNA is filed under the name uncultured bacterium. RNAcentral's name for it is "bacterial SSU rRNA". It matches the Rfam family "Bacterial small subunit ribosomal RNA", at positions 340 to 786 of the family's 1533-position model. The record is from RNAcentral.